AUACGGAGGGAGCAAGCGUUAUUCGGAAUCACUGGGCGUAAAGGACGCGUAGGCGGGUUUGUAAGUCAGGUGUGAAAUCCUACAGCUCAACUGUAGAACUGCACUUGAAACUACAGACCUAGAGUAUGGAAGGGGCAGAUGGAAUUAGUGGUGUAGGGGUAAAAUCCGUAGAUAUCACUAGGGAUACCGAAAGCGAAGGCGAUCUGCUGGGACAUUACUGACGCUGAGGCGUGAAAGCGUGGGGAGCGAACAGGAGUAGAUACCCCAGUAGUCC
RNAcentral lists this ribosomal RNA (274 nucleotides) under uncultured bacterium. RNAcentral describes it as "partial 16S ribosomal RNA". It matches the Rfam family "Bacterial small subunit ribosomal RNA", at positions 523 to 796 of the family's 1533-position model. The record is from RNAcentral.